RNAcentral lists this ribosomal RNA (301 nucleotides) under uncultured bacterium. RNAcentral's name for it is "partial 16S ribosomal RNA". It matches the Rfam family "Bacterial small subunit ribosomal RNA", at positions 509 to 807 of the family's 1533-position model. The record is from RNAcentral.
CAGCCGCCGCGGGAAUACGGAGGGGGCUAGCGUUGUUCGGAAUUACUGGGCGUAAAGCGCACGUAGGCGGCUUUGUAAGUUAGAGGUGAAAGCCCGGAGCUCAACUCCGGAAUUGCCUUUAAGACUGCAGAGCUAGCAGGUGAGAGAGGUGAGUGGAAUUCCGAGUGUAGAGGUGAAAUUCGUAGAUAUUCGGAAGAACACCAGUGGCGAAGGCGGCUCACUGGCUCAUACUGGACGCUGAGGUGCGAAAGCGUGGGGAGCAAACAGGAUUAGAUACCCCCGUAGUCCCUGUCUCUUAUAC